GAUGAACGCUGGCGGCGUGCCUAAUACAUGCAAGUCGAGCGAACAGAUGAGGAGCUUGCUCCUCUGACGUUAGCGGCGGACGGGUGAGUAACACGUGGAUAACCUACCUAUAAGACUGGGAUAACUUCGGGAAACCGGAGCUAAUACCGGAUAAUAUAUUGAACCGCAUGGUUCAAUAGUGAAAGACGGUUUUGCUGUCACUUAUAGAUGGAUCCGCGCCGCAUUAGCUAGUUGGUAAGGUAACGGCUUACCAAGGCAACGAUGCGUAGCCGACCUGAGAGGGUGAUCGGCCACACUAGAAGUGAGACACGGUCCAGACUCCUACGCGAGGCAGCAGUAGGGAAUAUUCCGCAAUGGGCGAAGGCCUGACGGUACAACGCCGAGUGAGUGAUGAAGGUCUUCGGAUCGUAAAACUCUGUUAUUAGGGAAGAACAAAUGUGUAAGUAACUAUGCACGUCUUGACGGUACCUAAUCAGAAAGCCACGGCUAACUACGUG
Molecule: ribosomal RNA, 497 nt
Filed under: uncultured bacterium
Lineage: Bacteria
Description: partial 16S ribosomal RNA
Rfam family: Bacterial small subunit ribosomal RNA
Source: RNAcentral